GGGCCCAUAGCUUAGACUGGUGGAGCACCCGGCUGAUAACCGGGAGGUCAAGAGUUCGAAUCUCUUUGGGCCCA
RNAcentral lists this transfer RNA (74 nucleotides) under Methanobacteriota archaeon. Its description in RNAcentral is "Euryarchaeota archaeon (soil metagenome) tRNA-Ile". It matches the Rfam family "tRNA". From Rfam's summary of the family: Transfer RNA (tRNA) molecules are approximately 80 nucleotides in length. Their secondary structure includes four short double-helical elements and three loops (D, anti-codon, and T loops). Lineage: Archaea; Methanobacteriati; Methanobacteriota. The record is from RNAcentral.